AACAUUACAGGGGCGACUCUGUGUGCUUUUCGUCAAAGCAUUGUCAGUCGGUCAGUUUUUGAAGGUAGGUGAAGACAAAGGGAGGGUCGAUAGUGGAGAAGUCGAGUGAAAGCUGAAGAGUGGAAGAUGGAUGAUGGUUUGCAGGGAUAGUAAGAGAGAAAGAAGAAAAUGAGGUGGGUUCUGUAUCAAGAGGAAGAAGAGAAAACUUAGUGAAAAAAGAAGUUCC
Molecule: long non-coding RNA, 226 nt
Filed under: Lathyrus oleraceus (garden pea)
Lineage: Eukaryota; Viridiplantae; Streptophyta; Magnoliopsida; Fabales; Fabaceae
Description: Pisum sativum (pea) long non-coding RNA (PSAT_LNC027066)
Source: RNAcentral